RNAcentral lists this ribosomal RNA (448 nucleotides) under uncultured bacterium. RNAcentral describes it as "partial 16S ribosomal RNA". It matches the Rfam family "Bacterial small subunit ribosomal RNA", at positions 29 to 523 of the family's 1533-position model. The record is from RNAcentral.
AAUGAACGCUGGCGGCAUGCCUAACACAUGCAAGUCGAACGAAGCCUUCGGGCUUAGUGGCGCACGGGUGCGUAACGCGUGGGAAUCUGCCCUUGGGUUCGGAAUAACUCUCCGAAAGGAGUGCUAAUACCGGAUGAUGUCGAAAGACCAAAGAUUUAUCGCCCAGGGAUGAGCCCGCGUAGGAUUAGCUAGUUGGUGAGGUAAAAGCUCACCAAGGCGACGAUCCUUAGCUGGUCUGAGAGGAUGAUCAGCCACACUGGGACUGAGACACGGCCCAGACUCCUACGGGAGGCAGCAGUGGGGAAUAUUGGACAAUGGGCGAAAGCCUGAUCAGCAAUGCCGCGUGAGUGAUGAAGGCCUUAGGGUUGUAAAGCUCUUCUACCCGGGAUGAUAAUGACAGUACCGGGAGAAUAAGCCCCGGCUAACUCCGUGCCAGCCGCCGCGGUAA